This 392-nucleotide ribosomal RNA is filed under the name uncultured bacterium. RNAcentral's name for it is "partial 16S ribosomal RNA". It matches the Rfam family "Bacterial small subunit ribosomal RNA", at positions 523 to 918 of the family's 1533-position model. The record is from RNAcentral.
AUACGGAGGAUCCGAGCGUUAUCCGGAUUUAUUGGGUUUAAAGGGUGCGCAGGCGGCCAUUUAAGUCAGCGGUUAAAUCGUGGGGCUCAACCCCAUUCUGCCGUUGAUACUGGGUGGCUUGAUUGCGGUCGAGGUUGGCGGAAUUCGUUGUGUAGCGGUGAAAUGCAUAGAUAUGACGAAGAACACCGAUUGCGUAGGCAACUGACCAGACCGCAAAUGACGCUCAUGCACGAAAGUGCGGGGAUCGAACAGGAUUAGAUACCCUGGUAGUCCGCACAGUAAACGAUGAAUACUUGUUUUCGGCGAUAUAAUGUCGGAGGCAAAGCGAAAGCGAUAAGUAUUCCACCUGGGGAGUACGCCGGCAACGGUGAAACUCAAAGGAAUUGACGGGG